This is a long non-coding RNA of Etheostoma spectabile (orangethroat darter), 628 nucleotides long. RefSeq lists it as uncharacterized. The transcript has 6 exons. The record is from RefSeq and is a predicted model, not a curated record. Lineage: Eukaryota; Metazoa; Chordata; Actinopteri; Perciformes; Percidae.
GGCGUGUGUUCACGUGCUCUCCCACUAAACUCAACAUAGUGGACACGAUGUCCGGAUGUGCUGCAGAUGAAGGAGGAGGAUAUGCUGGAAGAGGAAGACUUGACUGUGUCGGAGUGUGCCAGAGGGAUUUGGCUGGGUUUUCGCUAACACCAUUAGGACUGCUGUCCCAUGACUGGGGUUUGAUAGUGACCUGAGCCACAUUCUUGGUGUGUAAAUUAUUAAUGUGAGAACGGCCUGGUAGCAGCCAAGGCUAUUGUUGCCAUCGAGAAUCCAGGCGAUGUUGGUGUAUCUCCUCCAGGAGUACAGGACAGGAAAAAGGAUGAGAGGUGCAGAAACUACAGUGGAAGACUGUCAUCCUUUGCCCCAGGGCCUGUGGUUAAAAGAAAUGUCCAGGUAGCUCCCAGGAGAAGAUGUGCCUGAACCUCUAGUUCUACAGAGACCCAGAGGAGUUUCCUCAGAGGACUGGAGUUCCCAAACUGCCGCUGAAGACUGGUCUGCAACUCCCACAGCCCAGAACUCCGACUGGGACUGUGCUAGCUCUGACUGGUCCAAAGUCAUGUCCAUCAAAAACAUACGAAAGGCAAAGCACGGAGCUGAGAUAUUAAUAAAGUUGGCUGGUUUUUAUUAA